UGGGGAAUAUUGGGCAAUGGGCGCAAGCCUGACCCAGCAACGCCGCGUGAAGGAUGAAGGCCCUCGGGUUGUAAACUUCUUUUGUCGGGGACGAAGCAAGUGACGGUACCUGACGAAUAAGCCACGGCUAACUACGUGCCAGCAGCCGCGGUAAUACGUAGGUGGCAAGCGUUAUCCGGAUUUACUGGGUGUAAAGGGCGUGUAGGCGGGGAAGCAAGUCAGAUGUGAAAAGUUAUGGGCUCAACCCAUAACCUGCAUUUAGAAACUGUUUUUCUUGAGUGCUGGAGAGGCAAUCGGAAUUCCGUGUGUAGCGGUGAAAUGCGUAGAUAUACGGAGGAACACCAGUGGCGAAGGCGGCUUACUGGACGGUAACUGACGUUGAGGCUCGAAAGCGUGGGGAGCAAACAGGAUUAGAUACC
RNAcentral lists this ribosomal RNA (419 nucleotides) under uncultured bacterium. RNAcentral's name for it is "bacterial SSU rRNA". It matches the Rfam family "Bacterial small subunit ribosomal RNA", at positions 355 to 786 of the family's 1533-position model. The record is from RNAcentral.